UUAAGACGUCAUAUCAAAGGUCAAGCUUAUUUCCCCAAUUUUCAUACCCUGCUCCCAAAUUUGCCCUUCUUCAAAGAGGAUUUAAUGGUUUAUUCGGUUUAUUUGAUCAUAGAGUGUGUAACCGAUGGCCUGAUUGAAUGUUCAUUCAAUUUAUAGCAUUGAAUAUAAUUGAAGAUGUGGAUUGAAAAUUGAAUCCAAUUUAACCCUUACAAGAAACUGAAGAGGUUAAGACGCCCCUUAUAUUUACUCAUCACCGUUUACAUCAUCAGAAGCAGCAACAGUUACAAUCACCAAAUCCACAAGCAUUUCUCUGUGUCUCCCCAAAUUCCCAAUUUCUCAUACUUGAAGAUAAAAUCUGGCAUGUAAGUUUUAUCAUUGUAACAAUUUAUUACGACUGGGUUUGUUGAAACUCGUAAAAUUAGGGCUUGAAAUUGAAAUUAGGUUGUUUUUCUUGUGUUGAAAUUUGGUGAUUGGCUGGUUCCAAUGGCUGAAGUGGCGUCUUCGUCAACCACCACCGGUACGCCGACCGAUUGGAUAAGGAGAUCAAGACAAUUGGUCAUCCAAAACAGCCGAAACUGGUUAAUGGCAUGGGAGGUUGCAGCGAAAGCAUAUCAAGAGCUUUUAAUGGAUAUGUGUUGGCAGAAACUUGCCCCUAACUUGCCUUAUGUGAAGUCAUUGUUUUAGGUUGGUUUGAGUCGUUGAGGCUUCGCCGGAGACUCACGGAAACGAAGGCGUCUCCGUCAAUUGUUGAAGAAGUUGAAGCUAAGCUUCGUGUGAUGCAGUUUGUCGACAGUUUCAUGUGAAUAUCAUUUAUCUGCUGGUCUUGGAACUAAUAAAGUUGUUGCGGAGCGCUGGGCGCUGGACGUGUAGCUGGCUGAAGUAUUUGGGUUGUGAUCAGAUCUUGUUGUGGGCUGUAACAUAUAGGGUUGGUCUUCUGGUGGGCUACUUCUUCAUCAGCUACUUGCUGAGCACCUACAACAAUUACCAAUGGCCAUGUAAAGUUGGAAAGUGGAACUACUCGGGGCAGUCUUCAAGAAUAUGUUUUGAACUCAAGCACAGCAACCCGUUCAGUGUCCAAAGAAAGAGCCAAGAUGAUGUAGAAUAAAAGGUCAAAGCUCAAUUGAGCCUGGUCUCUCAAGUUGAGAGUCAAAAUUGUUGGCCGGAGUGGCUUUGAAAAACUUGAUGUCCAAAUGCUGGUAUGUCAUUCGUCUUAAAAAUAUAGUAAUUAGUUGCUGCUGAGCGCCCAAAUUUUUACCCGAUCACCCAAUGUUCCUGUAGUAUUACUUGCCCUUUUGUAUUGUACUCAUAGACGUAGAAAUUUCAAUUUUAUUUAUGAUUGGGUUGA
Long non-coding RNA from Helianthus annuus (common sunflower), 1345 nucleotides. RefSeq lists it as uncharacterized. NCBI's taxonomy places the organism in Eukaryota, Viridiplantae, Streptophyta, Magnoliopsida, Asterales, Asteraceae. The record is from RefSeq and is a predicted model, not a curated record. The transcript is spliced from 4 exons.